CUCCAAAACACAAAUCAUCUAUGGAUAACCCUGCCAAACCUCACCCAACCCCGGGUGAGGAGUACAAAAAACUCUAGGAGCCCCCUAUCCUACAACCCUGAUACUAGAUCUCCAGACUUUCCUAUCAAGUGUCAUGUCCUCGGAAACCCGCAUUCUAGCCAUGUCAUGCCUAAUCACCUCUCCCCAAUACCUCUUAGGUCUCCCUCUGCCUC
This 212-nucleotide long non-coding RNA is filed under the name Nicotiana benthamiana. Its description in RNAcentral is "long non-coding RNA (NBEN_LNC024703)". Lineage: Eukaryota; Viridiplantae; Streptophyta; Magnoliopsida; Solanales; Solanaceae. The record is from RNAcentral.